UUCUAAUUCAGUGCAUCCAUGUAUUGUUAUAAAUCUGUUUCCCAAUCUUGCUUUUUCACUGAAAGAUGUAGACACAAGGGAACAAGCUUCACUGCUAUCUAUCAGCUCAGAUAAGGAAAAGUUCCUUUCAGCCUGACACUGACAGCUUAAUGAAACGGAGGCCGAGAUGCAUGCAAAUGAGAGAAAGACUGGUAAGCUUUUACAGGAGAUGGAGAAUAAGAGGAAAAUACUGGGAAGAACUUCCAAUUACAUACUCCAGAUAGAACUGUGAGCAGGAAGUACUCA
Molecule: long non-coding RNA, 285 nt
Filed under: Mustela putorius furo (domestic ferret)
Lineage: Eukaryota; Metazoa; Chordata; Mammalia; Carnivora; Mustelidae
Description: lncRNA (ENSMPUG00000031844.1)
Source: RNAcentral